RNAcentral lists this ribosomal RNA (497 nucleotides) under uncultured bacterium. RNAcentral describes it as "partial 16S ribosomal RNA". It matches the Rfam family "Bacterial small subunit ribosomal RNA", at positions 28 to 507 of the family's 1533-position model. The record is from RNAcentral.
GAUGAACGCUGGCGGCGUGCCUAAUUCAUGCAAGUCGAGCGAACAGACGAGGAGCUUGCUCCUCUGACGUUAGCGGCGGACGGGUGAGUAACACGUGGAUAACCUACCUAUAAGACUGGGAUAACUUCGGGAAACCGGAGCUAAUACCGGAUAAUAUAUUGAACCGCAUGGUUCAAUAGUGAAAGACGGUUUUGCUGUCACUUAUAGAUGGAUCCGCGCCGCAUUAGCUAGUUGGUAAGGUAACGGCUUACCAAGGCAACGAUGCGUAGCCGACCUGAGAGGGUGAUCGGCCACACUGGAACUGAGACACGGUCCAGACUCCUACGGGAGGCAGCAGUAGGGAAUCUUCCGCAGUGGGCGAAAGCCUGACGGAGCAACGCCGCGUGAGUGAUGAAGGUCUUCGGAUCGUAAAACUCUGUUAUUAGGGAAGAACAAAUGUGUAAGUAACUAUGCACGUCUUGACGGUACCUAAUCAGAAAGCCACGGCUAACUACGUG